GAAUAGUCCCGGGAAACUGGGUUGAGAUACCGAAUACGCCGUAUUGGGAAAGAUUUAUCGGCGAAGGAUCGGCCCGCGUUAGAUUAGCUAGUUGGCGGUGUAAUGGACCACCAAGGCUAUGAUCUAUAGCUGGUCUGAGAGGAUGAUCAGCCACACUGGGACUGAGACACGGCCCAGACUCCUACGGGAGGCAGCAGUGGGGAAUCUUGGACAAUGGGGGGAACCCUGAUCCAGCCAUGCCGCGUGAGUGAAGAAGGCCUUAGGGUUGUAAAACUCUUUCGCCGGAGAAGAUAAUGACGGUAUCCGGAGAAGAAGCCCCGGCUAACUUCGUGCCAGCAGCCGCGGUAAUACGAAGGGGGCUAGCGUUGUUCGGAAUUACUGGGCGUAAAGCGCACGUAGGCGGGUUUGUAAGUAGGGGGUGAAAUCCCAGGGCUCAACCCUGGAACUGCCUCCUAGACUGCAAGCCUCGAGGUCAGGAGAGGCGAAGUGGAAUUCCGAGUGUAGAGGUGAAAUUCGUAGAUAUUCGGAGGAACACCAGUGGCGAAGGCGACUCGCUUGGACUGAUACUGACGCUGAGGUGCGAAGGCUAGGGGAGCAAACGGGAUUAGAUCCCCGGUAGUCCUACCCUAAACGAUGAAUGCUUGGUGUGG
RNAcentral lists this ribosomal RNA (650 nucleotides) under uncultured Alphaproteobacteria bacterium. RNAcentral's name for it is "bacterial SSU rRNA". It matches the Rfam family "Bacterial small subunit ribosomal RNA", at positions 141 to 825 of the family's 1533-position model. The record is from RNAcentral. Lineage: Bacteria; Pseudomonadati; Pseudomonadota; Alphaproteobacteria.